Molecule: ribosomal RNA, 274 nt
Filed under: uncultured bacterium
Lineage: Bacteria
Description: partial 16S ribosomal RNA
Rfam family: Bacterial small subunit ribosomal RNA
Source: RNAcentral
AUACGGAGGGUGCAAGCGUUACUCGGAAUCACUGGGCGUAAAGCGCGUGCAGGCGGGCUGAUAAGUUGGAUGUGAAAGCCUACGGCUCAACCGUAGAACUGCAUCCAAAACUGUCAGUCUAGAGUCUGGGAGGGGAAGAUGGAAUUAGUUGUGUAGGGGUAAAAUCCGUAGAGAUAACUAGGAAUACCAAAAGCGAAGGCAAUCUUCUGGAACACUACUGACGCUGAGGCGCGAAAGCGUGGGGAGCGAACAGGAUUAGAAACCCCAGUAGUCC